RNAcentral lists this ribosomal RNA (301 nucleotides) under uncultured bacterium. Its description in RNAcentral is "partial 16S ribosomal RNA". It matches the Rfam family "Bacterial small subunit ribosomal RNA", at positions 509 to 807 of the family's 1533-position model. The record is from RNAcentral.
CAGCAGCCGCGGGAAUACGAAGGGUGCAAGCGUUAAUCGGAAUUACUGGGCGUAAAGCGUGCGUAGGCGGUUUGUUAAGUCUGUUGUGAAAUCCCCGGGCUCAACCUGGGAAUGGCAAUGGAUACUGGCAAGCUAGAGUGUGUCAGAGGAUGGUGGAAUUCCCGGUGUAGCGGUGAAACGCGUAGAGAUCGGGAGGAACAUCAGUGGCGAAGGCGGCCAUCUGGGACAACACUGACGCUGAGGCACGAAAGCGUGGGGAGCAAACAGGAUUAGAUACCCCCGUAGUCCCUGUCUCUUAUAC